Molecule: microRNA, 21 nt
Filed under: Branchiostoma belcheri (Belcher's lancelet)
Lineage: Eukaryota; Metazoa; Chordata; Leptocardii; Amphioxiformes; Branchiostomatidae
Description: bbe-miR-4859-3p
Source: miRBase by way of RNAcentral
UGACAGUAAUGCCCGCUGACU